This 117-nucleotide small RNA is filed under the name Pongo abelii (Sumatran orangutan). RNAcentral describes it as "Metazoan signal recognition particle RNA (ENSPPYG00000035955.1)". Lineage: Eukaryota; Metazoa; Chordata; Mammalia; Primates; Hominidae. The record is from Rfam by way of RNAcentral.
GCCAGGCAUGGUGGCUCAUGCCUGUAAUCCUAGCACUUUGGGAGGCCGAGGUGGGUGGAUCACUUGAGGCCAGGAGUUCAAGACCAGCCUGGCCAACAUGGUGAAACCCCAUCUCUA